RNAcentral lists this ribosomal RNA (633 nucleotides) under Schaefferia cuneifolia. RNAcentral describes it as "eukaryotic LSU rRNA". The stretch from base 240 to 395 matches the Rfam family "5.8S ribosomal RNA". Lineage: Eukaryota; Viridiplantae; Streptophyta; Magnoliopsida; Celastrales; Celastraceae. The record is from RNAcentral.
UUUCCGUAGGUGAACCUGCGGAAGGAUCAUUGUCGAAUCCUGCUAGGCAGAACGACCCGCGAACGAGUGAGAACCACCCCGCGCCCAACCGACGGGAGGGGGAACCCUCCUCCCGCGGGCGCCAACAACGAACCCCGGCGCGAGUCGCGCCAAGGAACCGGAAGUGGAUGUGCGGCCCCCCUCGCACCGGAAACGGUCGUUCGUAGGCGGGCGCACGUCGUUCGUAUCCCAUACGAAACGACUCUCGGCAACGGAUAUCUCGGCUCUCGCAUCGAUGAAGAACGUAGCGAAAUGCGAUACUUGGUGUGAAUUGCAGAAUCCCGUGAACCAUCGAGUUUUUGAACGCAAGUUGCGCCCGAAGCCGUCAGGCCUAGGGCACGCCUGCCUGGGCGUCACGCAACGUCGCCAACGCCCCGUCGCGGGUUACGGCGGAUGCUGGCCUCCCGUGCGCUCCCCGCUCGCGGUUGGCCCAAAACACGGACCCCCGGCGACGGUCGCCACGGCACGCGGUGGUCGGAAGCAAACUGACAAAAGCCGUGGGCAACCGAACCGAACCGCCGCGGGUUCCACAGACCCCGACGCGAUUUCGCAAGAGCGACCCCAGGUCAGGCGGGAACACCCGCUGAGUUUAAG